Molecule: unclassified non-coding RNA, 697 nt
Filed under: Hevea brasiliensis (rubber tree)
Lineage: Eukaryota; Viridiplantae; Streptophyta; Magnoliopsida; Malpighiales; Euphorbiaceae
Source: RNAcentral
GCAAGGUUCAUGCGUUUCACAAUGUGUGCCGCCAUCAUGGCUCUCUUCUUGCAUUGGGAAGUGGGAAAAAGUCUUGCUUUGUAUGCCCUUACCAUGCUUGGACUUAUGGUUUAGAUGGAGCACUUCUUAAAGCAACUCGAAUAACAGGAAUGCAAAAUUUCAAUGAGUUUGGGCUUAUUCCACUAAAUGCAGCUACCAAGCCAUUCAUUCUAAAUGUAGCUACUUGGGGGCCAUUUGUUCUUCUCAGUAUGGGCAAAGAGAAUUCACCUCAUCACGAAGUUGAUGGCAAUAUGGUGGAAAAUGAAUGGCUUGGUAGCUGCUCUGAUACACUGAAAACCAAUGGAGUUGAUUCUUCUUUGAGUCAUGUUUGUAGACGUGUAUACAAUAUUGAAUGCAACUGGAAGGUGUUUUGCGACAACUACUUGGAUGGUGGCUACCAUGUUCCAUAUGCACAUAAAGAUUUGGCAUCUGGUUUGAAGCUUGAUUCUUACUCCACCAUAAUAUACGAAAAGGUCAGUAUCCAAAGAUGUGAAGGUGGCUCAGCUGGAAGUGAAGAUGAUUUUGGUCGNNNAUCAAAAGUUUUAUAUGCUUUCAUUUAUCCUAAUUUCAUGAUUAACAGAUAUGGGCCUUGGAUGGAUACCAACCUUGUGCUGCCUCUCGGACCCAGAAAAUGCCAAGUGAUAUUUGACUACUUUAU